This 468-nucleotide ribosomal RNA is filed under the name uncultured bacterium. RNAcentral describes it as "partial 16S ribosomal RNA". It matches the Rfam family "Bacterial small subunit ribosomal RNA", at positions 28 to 507 of the family's 1533-position model. The record is from RNAcentral.
GACGAACGCUGGCGGCGUGCUUAACACAUGCAAGUCGAACGGAAAGGCCCUGCUUUUGUGGUGUGCUCGAGUGGCGAACGGGUGAGUAACACGUGAGUAACCUGCCCUUGACUUUGGGAUAACUUCAGGAAACUGGGGCUAAUACCGGAUAGGAGCUCCUGCUGCAUGGUGGGGGUUGGAAAGUUUCGGCGGUUGGGGAUGGACUCGCGGCUUAUCAGCUUGUUGGUGGGGUAGGGGCUUACCAAGGCUUUGACGGGUAGCCGGCCUGAGAGGGUGACCGGCCACAUUGGGACUGAGAUACGGCCCAGACUCCUACGGGAGGCAGCAGUGGGGAAUAUGGCACAAUGGGCGGAAGCCUGAUGCAGCAACGCCGCGUGCGGGAUGACGGCCUUCGGGUUGGAAACCGCUUUCGCCUGUGACGAAGAGUGAGUGACGGUAAUGGGUAAAGAAGCACCGGCUAACUACGUG